This 468-nucleotide ribosomal RNA is filed under the name uncultured bacterium. RNAcentral describes it as "partial 16S ribosomal RNA". It matches the Rfam family "Bacterial small subunit ribosomal RNA", at positions 28 to 507 of the family's 1533-position model. The record is from RNAcentral.
GACGAACGCUGGCGGCGUGCUUAACACAUGCAAGUCGAACGGAAAGGCCCGGCUUUUGUGGGUUUCUCGAGUGGCGAACGGGUGAGUAACACGUGAGUAACCUGCCCUUGACUUUGGGAUAACUUCAGGAAACUGGGGCUAAUACCGGAUAGGAGCUCCUGCUGCAUGGUGGGGGUUGGAAAGUUUCGGCGGUUGGGGAUGGACUCGCGGCUUAUCAGCUUGUUGGUGGGGUAGUGGCUUACCAAGGCUUUGACGGGUAGCCGGCCUGAGAGGGUGACCGGCCACAUUGGGACUGAGAUACGGCCCAGACUCCUACGGGAGGCAGCAGUGGGGAAUAUUGCACAAUGGGCGAAAGCCUGAUGCAGCAACGCCGCGUGCGGGAUGACGGCCUUCGGGUUGUAAACCGCUUUCGCCUGUGACGAAGCGAGAGUGACGGUACUGGGUAAAGAAGCACCGGCUAACUACGUG